UACGUAGGGUGCAAGCGUUGUCCGGAAUUAUUGGGCGUAAAGAGCGUGUAGGCGGCCAUACAGGUCAGCUGUGAAAACUCGAGGCUCAACCUCGAGACGUCGGUUGAAACCGUAUGGCUAGAGUCCGGAAGAGGAGAGUGGAAUUCCCGGUGUAGCGGUGAAAUGCGCAGAUAUCGGGAAGAACACCUAUGGCGAAGGCAGCUCUCUGGGCCGACACUGACACUGAGAGACGAAAGCUAGGGGAGCGAAUGGG
This 253-nucleotide ribosomal RNA is filed under the name uncultured bacterium. RNAcentral describes it as "partial 16S ribosomal RNA". It matches the Rfam family "Bacterial small subunit ribosomal RNA", at positions 524 to 776 of the family's 1533-position model. The record is from RNAcentral.